RNAcentral lists this ribosomal RNA (459 nucleotides) under uncultured Sphingobacteriales bacterium. RNAcentral describes it as "bacterial SSU rRNA". It matches the Rfam family "Bacterial small subunit ribosomal RNA", at positions 920 to 1382 of the family's 1533-position model. Lineage: Bacteria; Pseudomonadati; Bacteroidota; Sphingobacteriia; Sphingobacteriales. The record is from RNAcentral.
CCCGCACAAGCGGAGGAACAUGUGGUUAAUUCGAUGAUACGCGAGGAACCUUACCUGGGCUUAAAUGUAGAGUGCAUUUCUAGAGAUAGGAAUUCCCUUCGGGGCUUUCUACAAGGUGCUGCAUGGUUGUCGUCAGCUCGUGCCGUGAGGUGUCGGGUUAAGUCCCAUAACGAGCGCAACCCUUAUCGUUAGUUGCCAUCUGGUAAAGCAGGGGACUCUAGCGAAACUGCCACCGUAAGGUGAGAGGAAGGUGGGAUGACGUCAAAUCAGCACGGCCCUUAUGUCCAGGGCUACACACGUGUUACAAUGGUCGGUACAGAGGGCAGCUACCUGGUGACAGGAUGCUAAUCUCGAAAACCGGCCUCAGUUCGGAUCGAAGUCUGCAACUCGACUUCGUGAAGCUGGAUUCGCUAGUAAUCGCGCAUCAGCCAUGGCGCGGUGAAUACGUUCCCGGGCCUU